This 275-nucleotide ribosomal RNA is filed under the name uncultured prokaryote. Its description in RNAcentral is "partial 16S ribosomal RNA". It matches the Rfam family "Bacterial small subunit ribosomal RNA", at positions 524 to 798 of the family's 1533-position model. The record is from RNAcentral.
UACGAGGGCCCCAAGCAUUAUCCGGAUUUAUUGGGCGUAAAGCGUCCGUAGACGGUUUGUCGCAUCUCCUGUUAAAUCCUCUGGCUCAACCAGGGGGCUGCGGGAGAGAUGGAUAAACUAGAGACUGGAAGAGGCAAUCGGAAUUGCUGGUGUAGGGGUUAAAUCCGUUAAUACCAGCAGGAACACUCAAUGCGAAGGCAAAUUGCUGGGACAGUUCUGACGUUCAGCGACGAAAGCGUGGGGAGCGAAUGGGAUUAGAUACCCGGGUAGUCCCU